Molecule: long non-coding RNA, 1322 nt
Filed under: Homo sapiens (human)
Lineage: Eukaryota; Metazoa; Chordata; Mammalia; Primates; Hominidae
Description: long non-coding RNA NONHSAT212492.1
Source: RNAcentral
AAUCCUUCCCCGAGGCCAAGAGAAGUAUAGGAGGCAGCGACGGCAACUGCACCGACGGCAACGGCAGCUUUUUACCCCGAAGCACGGUGGCAGGGAGGCGGCGUUGACGGUGGCUGCAUUUUUCCGGCUGCUUCUCCCCCCGACCUCUUCCGUUUCUUGCUCCUCCAUCGAGACAGCACUAGACUCGCCAGCUCCGCUUUUAUCCGGUGCCCGGAGCCUGCGCACUGGAGCCUCCUCAGCCCCUAGUGGGCGUCGAGUGACACCCCAACCGGGUUCACCCAGCGCUGGAGGCCAGACUGGGCUGGGGGAGGAGGGGGAGAGGAACGGGGAGACGGGACUGGGGUUGUUUGGGAGGGGGAGAAGGUGUAUCGCUUUCGGAGGGUGACGGGAGGGAGUUCGUUCCCAAGCCCUGCUGUCCUUGUUCGUGCACCCAAUACUGGCAUGCCCAAGCUCACCUAUAUCCAGACUUGAGGGCCACUGGGGGAAAGGGGGAAAGAACCAGUCCCACCGAAUACCGACACUUCCUCAAACCUUCGGUGGAUUGUUGAAUGCAUCUGUUGUCAGAAAGACAGAGAUUCCGUCCCCCUCACCGCCUCCAGUUUGCUAUCUUCGAGCCUCCGCGGAGAGGCAACGGCGGGCGGCAGCCCACAAGCAAAAUGGCGCCGGGCAGCUUCAUCCCCUCCCCCUCUGCCCCUGCGGAGCGGGACGGGCGUACCCCGUGCACUUGCCGCCGCCGCCGCCGCCGCCGCGGCCGCCGCCGCCGCCGCCGCCAUUUUCCCAGAGCGAGAGGCAGUGACACUGAGCGGGCGCAGGGGGCCGAGUCGGAGACCGUGCCGGAGUUCGGGAGCGGCAACAGAGUGGGCAUAGACACUCCGAGCAGCCUCGCCGUCGUCUCUGCGUUCCUGUUGACUGCCUGGCUGCCCCCUCCCCUACUCCUCGGUUCCUGGUGAAGAGGCUGCGCGCUGCUGUUUGGGGAGGGGGUGUGUGGAGCCGGGUCCUGUGUCCGCAGUGGCUGCUGUCGGGGGGUCGCCUGUUCGCGGAGGUGCGGAGAGACUCCUUGGGGGUCGAGCACAUAACGGGGUUCGGGUGUCUCGUGUGUGAACAUCACAGGGUUUGUGGAUGCACUUAGAUGUUUGCAAUGAGCACUGUGGCUGGCAUGCCCCAGUGUUUUGGAUACCAAUGCAUAGGACUCCAUAGUAAUCGAAUUUACCAGAGGCGAACGUCAUGAGCAUAGUGAUCCCAUUGGGGGUUGAUACAGCAGAGACGUCAUACUUGGAAAUGGCUGCAGGUUCAGAGUAAGUAUUUAAAUUGGUUACAUAAGC